RNAcentral lists this ribosomal RNA (274 nucleotides) under uncultured bacterium. RNAcentral describes it as "partial 16S ribosomal RNA". It matches the Rfam family "Bacterial small subunit ribosomal RNA", at positions 523 to 796 of the family's 1533-position model. The record is from RNAcentral.
AUACGGAGGAUGCAAGCGUUAUCUGGACUUAUUGGGUUUAAAGGGUUCGUAGGCGGAAAAUUAAGUCAGUGGAGAAAGCCUGCAGCUCAACUGCAGAACUGCCAUUGAUACUGAUUUUCUUGAAUUUAUAUGAAGUGGGCGGAAUGCGUCAUGUAGCGGUGAAAUGCACAGAUAUGACGCAGAACACCAAUUGCGAAGGCAGCUCACUAAUGUAAUAUUGACGCUGAGGAACGAAAGCAUGGGGAGCGAACAGGAUUAGAAACCCGAGUAGUCC